This is a long non-coding RNA of Carassius carassius (crucian carp), 616 nucleotides long. RefSeq lists it as uncharacterized. The record is from RefSeq and is a predicted model, not a curated record. NCBI's taxonomy places the organism in Eukaryota, Metazoa, Chordata, Actinopteri, Cypriniformes, Cyprinidae. The transcript is spliced from 3 exons.
AAUUUUUUUUGCAACUAACAUUACUGCAUAUUUGUGGUAGUUUAUAUAUUUUAGCCCAUUUUUGUGCUUGGCAAUAAUUGCUGCUAGAAAAUGCAGCAUCUUCUCCUCUCAUCUCAUUUAUUUAGAAUGCCAGACAAAGAUGUUAUAACAUUGCUUUUAAUUUCUGCUGCUCUUGGUAGGAUAUGUUGGACAUUAUGUGUCUGUGUUUUUUUAAUUUGCACAUUGUCAGUGGAUCAACAGCAGAACUUUACACUUCAGUCUACACUUUUAUGGGAUUUUGGACUCACGCUAAUUUGACCUGUUUAAUGCAAAGGGAAAUCUUGCAUUAAAGCUGUUGCCUGUUUUGCGUCCACCUCCAUCCUACAAAAUUGGCAGAAAAACAGUCCGGCCCAGCAUUGAUGAAAGCAAAAAAGCUUUCAUUGACAUUCAGCCUGUUGGAACAAAUAUGGUGGAGUACCUCCAGCAGGCUGAAGCAUCAAGACCUUACCCUUAUGUCCUGUCACUUGAAAAUGGACACAUUGACUCGCAGGCAUUUGUCAUCCUCGCAGGAGAAGCUUUGGAGCAAAGUACUCUCAUUGGGGCAGUAGAUGUAUGCUUCAAAUCGUUUUAUGUUUUU